UACGAAGGGGGCUAGCGUUGCUCGGAAUUACUGGGCGCCAAGGGCGCGAAGGCGGCCUGACAAGUCAGAGGUGAAAGUCCUGGGCUCAACCUGGGGACUGCCUUUGAAACUGUCGGGCUUGAGACCGGGAGAGGUGAGUGGAAUUCCCAGUGGAGAGGUGAAAUUCGUAGAUAUUGGGAAGAACACCAGUGGCGAAGUCGGCUCACUGGACCGGUUCUGGCGCUGAGGCGCGAAAGCGUGGGGAGCAAACAGG
RNAcentral lists this ribosomal RNA (253 nucleotides) under uncultured bacterium. RNAcentral's name for it is "partial 16S ribosomal RNA". It matches the Rfam family "Bacterial small subunit ribosomal RNA", at positions 524 to 776 of the family's 1533-position model. The record is from RNAcentral.